This 211-nucleotide long non-coding RNA is filed under the name Mytilus galloprovincialis (Mediterranean mussel). Lineage: Eukaryota; Metazoa; Mollusca; Bivalvia; Mytilida; Mytilidae. The record is from RNAcentral.
GGUGAUAAAGCCUUAGUAUUUGAAAAAUUAAAAACGUUGUUAACAGUUAAUUUAUAGUUUUGAACAUAUCAAUGAUAAUUCAAGUCAACACAGAAGUGCCGACUACUGGGCUGGUGAUACCAUCGGGGAAAUAAAUCUUCACUAGCAGUGGCAUCGACCGAGUGGUUGUAAAUAAACUCAUCAUAGAUACUCAAUACAGUACAAACAAACG